This 253-nucleotide ribosomal RNA is filed under the name uncultured bacterium. Its description in RNAcentral is "partial 16S ribosomal RNA". It matches the Rfam family "Bacterial small subunit ribosomal RNA", at positions 524 to 776 of the family's 1533-position model. The record is from RNAcentral.
UACGGAGGGGGCAAGCGUUACUCGGAAUUAUUGGGCGUAAAGAGCGCGCAGGCGGUCGUUCAAGUCGAGUGUGAAAGCCCCCGGCUCAACUGGGGAGGGUCACUCGAUACUGAUCGACUUGAAGGCAGGAGAGGGAAGCGGAAUUCCCGGUGUAGUGGUGAAAUGCGUAGAUAUCGGGAGGAACACCAGUGGCGAAGGCGGCUUCCUGGCCUGUUCUUGACGCUGAGGCGCGAAAGCUAGGGGAGCAAACGGG